CAGAGGGCUCUCACCGGGCACAGAAUCCACCGAUGGCAUGAUCCUGGACUUCCAGCCUCCAGAACUGUGAGAAAUCAAUGUUAAGCCAGCCCGCCUCCCCCCACCCCCACUUCCCGCCUCAGUUCUGUUCCCUGAUCCCCAGCCCGGGCCCCUCCGAGGGCUGUUCCCUCUGGGAAGUCUCAGCCCCCUGGGGCCCAGGAUCGGAUAUUAGCCCACGCCUCUGCCCCUUCCCAGCUGCCCUGCCUUCGGGAUGAUGUCCAGAUUCUGACGGUCCUGCAGGUCCUGGCAGGUUGUGACCGACCUGCUGUCCCGCCUGAGCUGUCACCCCUGCUCCUGUCACAGCACUCCUGACCGACCUGCUUGCUGCUCCACAGAGUUCUCUCCCGUGCGGGGUGGGGGUUUGCUUCUGUCCAUCCUGCUCUCGGGGGCUCCCUUCAUCCUCCUUUGGUGGCCUGGUCCUUCUUUGUCCCCAAUCUCAAAUGUCACUUCUGCUAAAAUCUCCCCUGGCCCACCUGGGCCCCCUCUCCCCAGAGUCUCCCCUUCAGAGCCACAAGCACCAGGCUGGGCUGCCUCCUGGUCGAAUCCUUUGAGCUUUGCAGCCCCUGCGGCGGCCCCGCCAGGGGAGCUUUCAUCACAGACCUGGCCUGGCAGGUGGGGCCAUGUCCAGGGGGCAGACGGCCCUGCCCCCACUAGGACACCAGGGUAGAGGCUCUCCGAGCGUGGACCAUGAUAUCAGUGCCACUGGAACGGUCACGGGUGAAGAUUCUCAGACCUCAUCCAGGCCGGUGAAUCAGAAGCCCCGGGGAGGUGUGCUCCUGCAAGCCCCCCAGGGGCUUCUGAUGCCGGCCAGGUAUGAGAGCCCCGGGCCGGGGAGAGAACUGCCAGGAUGAGCUGCCGCCCCCUUGGCAGCCUCCCCUGUCCCCUGUGCACUCAGGUCUCCACGUCAGCAUCCGAAGCCUCUGUGUCCUGAAGGCGCAGUCCGAGGAGACGGUUUGCCACCAAAGCUUAAAGCCAGGUGUCAAUAAACCCACUGGGGACCAGGCCGGACGGACUUUGGAAGAAAAGGUGCUGCGUGCCCUUCAGCAGUUCCAGCGAAAGACCCAUCAGUUGGUGCCUCGGUCCCCUGGGCUUCCAGCCAAGCACACCUGACUGGAUUAAUGAGCAUCUGGUUGGGGAAGAAAAGGAGCCAGAGGCGGCAGGACAUUUGUGAGAGAAGCGGGGGACACCAUUCACCAGCAAGAACAGCAGCAUAAGCCGGCGUGAACUCCAACCAUCCUGGGCCAGUGCCCGGGGGUCCCCUGGCUUGGAACCAGUUGAAGCUGAUUAUGAGAGAUUCCACUGUCAUGCUGCAACCAAGCAAAAACACAAUAUGCACAGUUGCUAGAAAAGUCACCCCUCCGUUGACUGUUGUCUGUGUGCAUCAGAAAGGUGAUGCCACAGACCUGUGGUGAGGGCAAAGUGGAAUGAGACAAGAGUGACAGUUUGGCGUGGAGGGUGGCAUUUGGCUACGUAAGGACACAGCGCGGACCCAAUUACAACUGAGGCCAGAGCCAUUGUAUCCCAGGGUCAAAACGGGGACCUUGCUGUUCCCCUGCUCCAAGCCUCUAAGCAGCUCCCCAUGGUUGACUGAGAGAAGCAGGCCACCUGCACUGAAGACUUGCUCUCCGGGCUCCAUCCUGGAAGCACAGGCCUCCUCCCAGCUGGCCUCCAGGAUGUCUCACCCCCGCGCCUCUGCUCCAUGGUGUAUGGAAGUUCCCAGGCUAGGGGUUGAAUUGAAGCUGCAGCUCAGCCUCCGCCAGAUCUGAGCCACAUCUGCCACCAACACCACAGCUCACGGCAACACUGGAUCCUUAACCCACUGAGCAAGGCCAGGGAUACUAGUUGGGUUCGUUACUACCGAGCCACCACGGGAGCUCCAGGUGAUCCUUCUGAGGAAAGGAAUUGAGGUUAUUUAAUUGGGGGAGGGUCAGGAGUGCCUGAGCCCCGUCUUGACGUGGUUAUCAAGGUUGGGAAAGAUGUUGUCUGCUCGUCUCCUGUUUUUGCCAAAAGCCACUCAGAUUGAGUUCCAGGAAGGACUGUCUUGCAUGAUGACACAUUUCGGCCGGGUCCCUAUUCGGGACAGACCCAGGGGAGCAAGCUAGAUUCUGGGGCGAAGCGGCUAAUUCCAACUGGGACGGGGGACUUCAGACGCCAGCCUCCUCUCUGAAGGGGACGCUGGGACAGUCUGGGGAGAGAAACUCGAGGCCUUCGGUUUGUGAACAAGCUGGCGGGAACCGCCAGGACGAAGGUGUGGCGAGCGGCCCAGGACAGGGAGGCGGGAAUCUAAAGCUGAUGCGACAGAGACUCGACCCUCUGCUCUGUUCUGCUUGAAGGUGGGUGGGCGACAGCUGUGGCAGGGGGACACCACUGGACAGACAGGCACUCUCGUGAUCCUUAGCGCCUUGGAGCCUAGAGGGGCAGGGAGGGUCCCGUCGGGGCCAGAUGUCCUUAAGAAGAGACAGAAAAAGAACCUCUGCGUGCCCACUACGGGACGGAAGUCGCCUCCCUCCCCUCCUUCCUUCCCUCCGAUUCAUUCAUUCAUUCCUUCGACCUGAGCCUCGGUGCUGUGGCAGCUGCCAGCACAGAAGCAGAGCAGGGAAAGAUGAGAGGCGAGGCGGAUGAACAAGUGCAUUGUGGGGCCGUAUGAGAGGUGCGUGGAGGCUGCGUGGAGGGUUUCUGGAGGAAGUGAACAAGGAGGAGCUGGUCAGGGAGGAGGACUGGAGCGAGCAGGCCCGUCACACACCCCAUCAGCCCCAGCCCUGGUCCCGACGAGGACACCGAGGUUCAGGGUGGACCUCGGAAUCACGGCUGGCAUGUCGCAGGAUUCCAGGGCAGUUUUCUUGACUCUGAGGGGAGCGGGCUCUCCAGCAGGCCGCAGAACCUUCGGCUGGGUGAUUUUUGCCGAAGCCUUUGGCCCCGGCCCUGCAGCCUGCCAUUGGCUCUCUUUCAGGGUCACGGGAGGGAGAAACCCUUUGCUCUGAACGUUGGUUUCCCUUCCUGUUUCGCUUCAGUGGGCAUUACAGGCUCUGAAUGGGGAGCCUGAGCCCCUGGCUCCCAUGGGCUGGUGGUUCGGAAAGCAAAGCAGCGCACGCAUGUGGCCGGCCACGAUGGCCGGGCUGCGGUCCCCAGAGGACACUCGGUCCACAGCAGACACCCCCCGCCGCCCCCUGCCACCCCCUGCCCACCCCACACAUGCUCAGGGCAGGGAGGCUUUCUGCAAGCCCAGUCUCCUCGGGGCUGUGCUGUCUGGCCCGCAGGACUCAGUGGAUUCUCUUUUACAGAAAUACGCAUUUCAGAUAUUUUGUGGCUUCUAGUACGUUUUGUUUAAAAUGAGUUGAAGUUGGAACCUACAAGAGAUAUUUGAAAAAUCUUCCUUAAACACUGAAAAAAAAAAAA
RNAcentral lists this long non-coding RNA (3435 nucleotides) under Sus scrofa (pig). RNAcentral's name for it is "lncRNA (ENSSSCG00060061308.1)". Lineage: Eukaryota; Metazoa; Chordata; Mammalia; Artiodactyla; Suidae. The record is from RNAcentral.